This 1121-nucleotide long non-coding RNA is filed under the name Chrysemys picta bellii (western painted turtle). Its description in RNAcentral is "lncRNA (ENSCPBG00000010255.1)". The record is from RNAcentral. Lineage: Eukaryota; Metazoa; Chordata; Testudines; Emydidae.
GUUGUGGAUUGGAUCUGAUUGUGGUGGCACCCUUUGCAAGUGCACAAAGGGGUGUGGGAUGAGUACUCAUUGCACCUUUCUUCAUGUGUUUUUGCACACCCACGCAAUGCUGGCCUAAAUACAGUUCAUAUUAAAAUUCAUAAAUCUGGUGUUGCUUUGAAUUAGUACAGCAGCAUGCCUCCUGGCAGACAUGUGGUGUGUUAACAAGCUGAAGGAAUCAGAAGGAAUCAGCUUUCCCAAAACUGCAGGUAGAGCAUUUCUAUCCUCCUAGUACAGAAAUGAAACAUUCUUCAUGCAAACCAACAUAUGCUUUAUUACUUCUGUCACUUAUGCUAUAUAUUCUACUCCUUGAAGAAAGGAGCUAUAAGAAAUCUUAAUGUUCGAAAGGAAUGAGUCCACGUGGUUUGGGAACAAUCCAACAGGACUCUAAAGAACAUGGGAUGGUUAAUGGGAGUGUUUUGGGCUAUACUGACACUACAUGAGCAGUGAUUUGAGAGACCAAUGUCAUAUAUUCUGAUUAUUCGAGAGGACAAUUGUAGUCUGUGGGAACAAAAAAAAUGGAAGAAGAAGAAACAACUAAACCUACAACCAUACUCCACAGUGCUUUGAUUUUUAAUUUUUUCCUCAUUUAUAAGUAUUUCGCAACGCCGUGUCACGUUUCACCUACCAGACGGCUCCCAGGAAAGCUGCAGUGACAGUGGGCUUGGAGACCAUGAACCCAGCAGCAGUGCUAGCACAUCGCAUCCUCUGCCCCUUGGUUUCCCCCAAGAGGAGUACUAUGAACAGGCUUCGCCCAACAGUCGGACAGAAGGAGAUGGCAAUUCGGACCCGGAGUCCAGCCAAGAUUUCAAAACCAAGUACAGACUGUGGAUGUCUCAGUUCUGGGACCCGAUUGUCCGAGGCUGGAUGCUGUGCUCUUUCUAAUGUGUGUAAACAAAGACUAAAAAGGAAAUUUUAAAAGUAGCAGAAUUCCAAUUUUUGUUUAUACGUAUCAAGCUGAUAUACUAUACUGUUUUAACUCAGAUGAUACCAAACUAGGAGGGAUUGCAACUGCUUUGGAGGACAGGGUCAUAAUUCAAAAUGACCUGGACAAAUUGGAGAAAUGGUCUGAGGUAAGCAGG